RNAcentral lists this ribosomal RNA (491 nucleotides) under uncultured bacterium. RNAcentral's name for it is "partial 16S small subunit ribosomal RNA". It matches the Rfam family "Bacterial small subunit ribosomal RNA", at positions 35 to 524 of the family's 1533-position model. The record is from RNAcentral.
AAGCUGGCGGCGUGCCUAUAAUGCGAGUCGAGCGGGCGAGGAGGGGAACUCUCUCGUCAGCGGCGGACGGGUGAGGAACACGUGAGUGACCUAGCCGGGGGCGGGGGAUAUCGGGCCGAAAGGCGCGGCAAUCCCGCAUACGCCCUGGUAGCGACGGCGCCAGGGGAAAGCGCGGCAGCGCACCCCCGGGGGGGCUCACGGCCCAUUAGCUAGUUGGGGGGGUAACGGCCUCCCAAGGCGACGAUGGGUAGCCGGCCUGAGAGGAUGGACGGCCACACUGGGACUGAGACACGGCCCAGACUCCUACGGGAGGCAGCAGUAGGGAAUCUUCCACAAUGGGCGCAAGCCUGAUGGAGCAACGCCGCGUGAGCGAAGACGGCCUUCGGGUUGUAAAGCUCUGUCGGUCGGGACGAGGACCCGCGGGGGGCCGCGGGGGGGCCGGUACCGGCCGAGGAAGCCCCUGCAAACUACGUGCCAGCAGCCGCGAGAAG